ACCAGACUCCUACGGGAGGCAGCAGUGGGGGAUAUUGCACAAUGGGGGAAACCCUGAUGCAGCGACGCCGCGUGAGUGAAGAAGUAUUUCGGUAUGUAAAGCCCUAUCAGCAGGGAAGAAGAAAGACGGUACCUGAGUAAGAAGCCCCGGCUAACUACGUGCCAGCAGCCGCGGUAAUACGUAGGGGGCAAGCGUUAUCCGGAUUUACUGGGUGUAAAGGGAGCGUAGACGGUAUGGCAAGUCUGAAGUGAAAGCCCCGGGCUCAACCUGGGAACUGCUUUGGAAACUGUUAAACUAGAGUGCUGGAGAGGCAGGCGGAAUUCCUAGUGUAGCGGUGAAAUGCGUAGAUAUUAGGAGGAACACCAGUGGCGAAGGCGGCCUGCUGGACAGUAACUGACGUUGAGGCUCGAAAGCGUGGGGAGCAAACAGGAUUAGAUACCCCGGUAUCA
This 449-nucleotide ribosomal RNA is filed under the name uncultured bacterium. RNAcentral describes it as "bacterial SSU rRNA". It matches the Rfam family "Bacterial small subunit ribosomal RNA", at positions 330 to 795 of the family's 1533-position model. The record is from RNAcentral.